Molecule: ribosomal RNA, 253 nt
Filed under: uncultured bacterium
Lineage: Bacteria
Description: partial 16S ribosomal RNA
Rfam family: Bacterial small subunit ribosomal RNA
Source: RNAcentral
UACGUAGGGGGCUAGCGUUGUCCGGAAUCAUUGGGCGUAAAGAGCGUGUAGGCGGUCCGGUAAGUCCGCUGUGAAAGUCGGGGGCUCAACCUCGAGAUGUCGGCGGAAACCGUCUGGCUAGAGUCCGGAAGAGGAGAGUGGAAUUCCUGGUGUAGCGGUGAAAUGCGCAGAUAUCAGGAAGAACACGCGUGGCGAAGGCGGCUCUCUGGGACGGUACUGACGCUGAGACGCGAAAGCGUGGGGAGCGAACAGG